RNAcentral lists this long non-coding RNA (1850 nucleotides) under Scophthalmus maximus (turbot). Its description in RNAcentral is "lncRNA (ENSSMAG00000029960.1)". The record is from RNAcentral. Lineage: Eukaryota; Metazoa; Chordata; Actinopteri; Pleuronectiformes; Scophthalmidae.
GUUUUCUUUAAAUGAAAGGCUCAUGUUUUAAUAUUUAAUAAGUCAUAUUUAUUAAGUAAAACCUUCUGAGAAGCCCGAGACAAAGGAAAGGUCGUGCGUAAUUUACUGACGCAAAAUUACAUCCAGUCAAUUACACCGAUGGAGUUUUAUGAGCAGCACCCUGCCGUUUAUCAUUGAAUCUUUAUCAUCUCUUAAGGACAAUUUUGCCCUUUUCUCCCUGUGAAGAAAAAAAUGUGAAGCGAAAACCCUGAAACCAUUUCGUUUGGUAUGUGUUUAAAUAUCUCUCGAUUUGCAGAGGAAAUGAGAUAAAAUUGAAGUUAUGGCUAUUUGUGAUCGAGUCUAAAUACAUCCCCAUGUUUUGUUUUUUUUGCACCCUCUGCUCGUGUGGCUGAGGUUGCGGGUCAGGACCCCGGCCCUUCAGCCAUCUCCUCACAUCUCUCAGGGUAUUGAACUAGUAACUACGAGAUGGAGAAAAGCACUCAAGUGACCAGGCGCUUCGGUCCAUCUGCUGUUUUGUGCUAAGCUGAGAAGGUUGAUGAUGUCGGGAAAAGGUCGCCUGUGUGAUUCAAACUACCAGAAUGGACUGUUAUUAUGAGCUGGUUAACAACCCACAAAUAGUCAGGUGUAUGAACCAACCUUGGCGGGGGCCUUGUCCACGGCUCCUUGGCGCGUCCGUUCCUUCCCUCUCCAUGCGGGCGCGCACGGCCACAUCAAAAUCCCCUGCAUGUAAAAAGUUACCUUAAGAUCACACUAACUAUAACACCGUGGACAACAAUGAGCUCCCUCGGAGGCUUUUUUUGCAUGCGGCCAGCCAGCUCCUGAUUUUUUUUAUGGGAUCCUAAUGUGGAGGGUCCGUGGACCAGGGUCCUGCUCUCUGACUCGGUAAUCCACAAGGUUGAGAGGUUUGCCUCAUUUACAUAACGUUGGAGGUCUGGGGCCGAGGCCUGUACCUUUCUCUUCGCCCUGAAAAGGGAACCGUGCUGCCGCCGCCAAAAGACUGGGGAGGACGCACAUGGGACAAUGGGAAUGUUUCUAGGUAGGAAAUAUUACUUAACUUUAAAACAAAAAAUUGAAAAAUUAUUGAUACUUCGAAAGGAAUAGUUUUUUUUUUUACUGAAAGCAUUUGGUUUACACCUGUUAACUCCCUCUUGUCAAACUGUUGUUUUUUUUUUUGUUUUUGUUCUGGGGAUUCAUUGUUUCUCUUUUCAAUACACUUCGCUGUCUUUUACCUGUCAGCUAUAACUUUGGAAUACACACGUACUGUUUUGUUUUUUCCCCACAACAAGGUCCGGGCCACUUCACUUUAAAUCCGCUGCGGCGUCCAGGCAUCUGGGAGGGAGGGGCUGGGGGGGGUCUGGAGAGAAAAUGAGAAAGAAAUUCGGCCACGGCAACAUGCACGGGAACAAUGAUUUAUUACAAAUCGGCUCCGUCAACUUAACCGCAGAUUGGUGUUCUUGAUAUGUCGCCGUAAUUGAUGGCUGACCAUGUCACAUCUUCAUUUGCUCAAUUAGGGGAGGGUAGCUACUUGCUGCCGCGCGCGUCGUGCUUAAAUCACAUUAGUGGCUUUCGCGCAGACGAGUGCUUCAUACUUCCCCCGCGUGAAGGAAGACGGUGACACGUUUCACGUCUGGGGGGGAAAUAACCUCCGAGCAGCAGACACCUGCUCCUGCUGUCUGCUGCUGUCUGCUGCAUAGGUGCUGAUGGUGAUAGAAAAAGAAAAGAAAUCAACCACAAAACAUCCUCAUCAUCAUCACGAUUUAUGAGAAGCACAACAAUCAGGCAGUUUUUUUUUAUUGUUGUGUAGUUAAAAGCUACAUAUGAAUUCAAUAAUGCCUUAUAGAUCCAUACAU